AUUUAUAUAGUUUAAAUAAAACAUUACAUUUUCAAUGUAAAAAUAAUAAUAACUACAUUUAUAAGUA
Molecule: transfer RNA, 67 nt
Filed under: Xiangelilacris zhongdianensis
Lineage: Eukaryota; Metazoa; Arthropoda; Insecta; Orthoptera; Acrididae
Description: tRNA-Glu
Source: RNAcentral